CCCUUAACUAUUAAAAGUUUUGUUUUGGUCCCUUAACUUAUUUUUUAGUUUCGUUUUGGUCCCUUAACUUAUUUUUUGGUUUCAUUUUGGUCCCUUAACUCUAAUACAUUCAUCCUAACAUAAAGGACCAAAGUGGUUGACGGAGGAAGAGUUAAGGGACCAAAAUGAAACCAAAAAGUAAGUUAAAUGACCAAAACGAAACUUUUGAUAGUUAAGGGA
Molecule: microRNA precursor, 219 nt
Filed under: Medicago truncatula (barrel medic)
Lineage: Eukaryota; Viridiplantae; Streptophyta; Magnoliopsida; Fabales; Fabaceae
Description: MIR2655 microRNA precursor family
Rfam family: MIR2655 microRNA precursor family
Source: Rfam by way of RNAcentral